This 305-nucleotide ribosomal RNA is filed under the name uncultured bacterium. RNAcentral describes it as "bacterial SSU rRNA". It matches the Rfam family "Bacterial small subunit ribosomal RNA", at positions 335 to 638 of the family's 1533-position model. The record is from RNAcentral.
CAUCCUACGGGAGGCAGCAGUGAGGAAUAUUGGUCAAUGGCCGGAAGGCUGAACCAGCCAAGCCGCGUGAGGGAGGAAGGCGCAGAGCGUCGCAGACCUCUUUUGCCGGGGGACAAAAGGCCGGACUCGUCCGGUCCUGAGGGUACCCGGAGAAAAAGCAUCGGCUAACUCCGUGCCAGCAGCCGCGGUAAUACGGAGGAUGCGAGCGUUAUCCGGAUUUAUUGGGUUUAAAGGGUGCGUAGGCGGAACAUUAAGUCAGCGGUAAAAUCGAGGGGCUCAACCCCUUUAAGCCGUUGAAACUGGUG